This 2146-nucleotide ribosomal RNA is filed under the name human gut metagenome. RNAcentral's name for it is "bacterial LSU rRNA". It matches the Rfam family "Bacterial large subunit ribosomal RNA", at positions 1 to 1989 of the family's 2925-position model. The record is from RNAcentral.
GCAAGUUGUUAAGUGCGAUCGGUGGAUGCCUUGGCACCAAGAGCCGAUGAAGGACGUUGUAACCUGCGAUAAGCCCUGGGGAGUUGGUAAACGAGCUGUGAUCCGGGGGUGUCCGAAUGGGGAAACCUGGAAUGUCCGGAGUAGUGUCCGGUGACCCUGCCCUGAAUGUAUAGGGGUGUGGGAGGUAACGCGGGGAAGUGAAACAUCUUAGUACCCGUAGGAAGAGAAAACAACCGUGAUUCCGUGAGUAGUGGCGAGCGAAAGUGGAUGAGGCUAAACCGUGUGUGUGUUCAAGCCGGCAGGUGUUGCAUGUGCGGGGUUGUGGGGGCCUUUGGGUUCUGCUGCCGCAGGAUUGGCCAGUGAUAAAUGUUGCGUGAAGGUGAAGCGUCUGGGAAGGCGUACCGGAGUGGGUGAGAGUCCCGUAACUGUAAGCGUGGCACUGGUGAGGGUUACCCCAAGUAGCGUGGAACUCGUGGAAUUUCGCGUGAAUCUGGCGGGACCACCCGUCAAGCCUAAAUACUCCUUGGUGACCGAUAGUGGAUCAGUACCGUGAGGGAAUGGUGAAAAGUACCCCGGGAGGGGAGUGAAAUAGUACCUGAAACCGGUCGCAUACAAGCCGUCAGAGCCUUGUGGGGUGAUGGCGUGCCUUUUGAAGAAUGAGCCUGCGAGUUAGUGAUGCGUGGCGAGGUUAACCUGUGUGGGGGAGUCGUAGCGAAAGCGAGUCCGAUAAGGGCGUGAGUCGCGUGUUCUAGACCCGAAGCGGUGUGAUCUAUCCAUGGCCAGGAUGAAGCGUCGGUAAGACGUCGUGGAGGUCCGAACCCACUUCAGUUGAAAAUGGAGGGGAUGAGCUGUGGAUAGGGGUGAAAGGCCAAUCAAACACCGUGAUAGCUGGUUCUCCCCGAAAUGCAUUUAGGUGCAGCGUUGCGUGGUUCUUGUCGGAGGUAGAGCACUGGAUGGUCUAGGGGGCCUAUCAGCUUACCGAAAUCAGCUAAACUCCGAAUGCCGGCAAGUGGAGCGUAGCAGUGAGACGGCGGGGGAUAAGCUUCGUCGUCGAGAGGGAAACAGCCCAGAUCAUCAGCUAAGGCCCCUAAGUGGUAACUCAGUGGAAAAGGAUGUGGAGUUGCGUAGACAGCCAGGAGGUUGGCUUGGAAGCAGCCAUCCUUGAAAGAGUGCGUAAUAGCUCACUGGUCAAGUGAUUCCGCGCCGACAAUGUAGCGGGGCUUAAGUUAUCCGCCGAAGCUGUGGCAAACCCGUGAGGGUUUGGGUAGGGGAGCGUCCUGUGCGAGGUGAAGCUGCCGGGUGACCGUGUGGUGGAUUGUGCGGGAGUGAGAAUGCAGGCAUGAGUAGCGAAUGACGGGUGGAAAACCCGUCCGCCGAUUAUCCAAGGGUUCCAGGGUCAAGUUAAUCUGCCCUGGGUGAGUCGGGACCUAAGGCGAGGCCGACAGGCGUAGUCGAUGGACAACCAGUUGAUAUUCUGGUACCGGCUUGUCACCGUCCGUGUCGAGGUGUGUGAUGCUAAGCGUGCGAGCCUGCCAUUGUGAUGUCUUUGAUGUUGUGGUGGUGUGGUGAGUGUGUGAACCGAUCAUGUAGUAGGCAAGCUGCGGAGGGACGCAGGGAGGUAGCUCAUCCCCGGCGAUGGUUGUCCGGGGCUAAAUGUGUGGACCGUCUGGUAGGUAAAUCCGCCAGGGUUGUGGUUGAGGCAUGAUGGCGAGCCCACGGAAAGUGGGUGAGUGAGUGAUCCUGUACUGUCGAGAAAAUCUUCGUGAGCGAGGUGGCUGGUCCGCCCGUACCCUAAACCGACACUGGUGGAUAGGUAGAGUAUACCGAGGCGAUCGAGAUCAUCAUGGUGAAGGAACUCGGCAAAAUGCCCCCGUAACUUCGGGAUAAGGGGGACCUGAACUGUCAAGGCCUGUACGGCUGGUAGCGGUGAGGGGCGCAGAGACCAGGGGGAAACGACUGUUUACCAAAAACACAGGUCCGUGCGAAGUCGUAAGACGAUGUAUACGGACUGACUCCUGCCCGGUGCUGGAAGGUUAAGGGGAACUGUUAGCGUUGGCGAAGCGGUGAACUUAAGCCCCAGUAAACGGCGGUGGUAACUAUAACCAUCCUAAGGUAGCGAAAUUCCUUGUCGGGUAAGUUCCGACCU